AUUGAACGCUGGCGGAAUGCUUUACACAUGCAAGUCGAACGGCAGCACGGGGCAACCUGGUGGCGAGUGGCGAACGGGUGAGUAAUACAUCGGAACGUGCCCAAUCGUGGGGGGAUAACGUAGCGAAAGUUACGCUAAUACCGCAUACGAUCUACGGAUGAAAGCGGGGGAUCGCAAGACCUCGCGCGAAUGGAGCGGCCGAUGUCAGAUUAGGUAGUUGGUGGGGUAAAGGCUCACCAAGCCGACGAUCUGUAGCUGGUCUGAGAGGACGACCAGCCACACUGGGACUGAGACACGGCCCAGACUCCUACGGGAGGCAGCAGUGGGGAAUUUUGGACAAUGGGCGCAAGCCUGAUCCAGCCAUUCCGCGUGCAGGAUGAAGGCCUC
This 387-nucleotide ribosomal RNA is filed under the name uncultured bacterium. RNAcentral's name for it is "bacterial SSU rRNA". It matches the Rfam family "Bacterial small subunit ribosomal RNA", at positions 29 to 418 of the family's 1533-position model. The record is from RNAcentral.